AUGAAUGAUUGUGUACAUUGCAUAGAGAUGGAAAGGGAGGUGAAAAUGUGUCAAUAAAUUGGUCAAAGGUGCAGUAACAUGUGGUACACAAGGCAUUGGAUUCCAAAUGUGAAUGAUGGAGCAUCAAUUGGUGCAUGUUAUGGUUGUGAAAGUUGUAUAAAAUUUUGUGGGUGAAUGGAACAAGAGGUAUCAAGCAAUUAAGUGUAAUAAUUAAAUGAAUUGAAGUAUGAAAUCAGAAAUUAUGUAGGGGACAAGAGUGAUCAAGCAUGGCAUGGGAAUCCAAAGGGAAUUCUAUGUUGUUUUGCAUGACAAUGAAGGCAAGUUGGGGUGACAAAUUUUUGGGCUGAGUUCUUCAUCUUUUGGACCAUAAUUCUU
RNAcentral lists this long non-coding RNA (375 nucleotides) under Malus domestica (apple). RNAcentral's name for it is "long non-coding RNA (MDOM_LNC017923)". The record is from RNAcentral. Lineage: Eukaryota; Viridiplantae; Streptophyta; Magnoliopsida; Rosales; Rosaceae.